GUCGAGGGGCAGCAUGGGGGAGUAGCAAUACUCUCUGAUGGCGACCGGUGCAAGGGUGCGUAACGCGUGAGCAACUUGCCCUCAUCAGGGGAAUAAUCGCUGGAAACGGCGUCUAAUGCCCCAUGGUGAUGUCCUCAGGCAUCUGAGGUCAUCUAAAGAUCCGUCGGAUGGGGAUAGGCUCGCGUGACAUUAGCUAGACGGCGGGGUAACGGCCCACCGUGGCGACGAUGUCUAGGGGUUCUGAGAGGAAGGUCCCCCACACUGGAACUGAGACACGGUCCAGACUCCUACGGGAGGCAGCAGUGAGGAAUAUUGGUCAAUGGCCGGAAGGCUGAACCAGCCAUGCCGCGUGAAGGUCAGUGCCCUAUGGGCGUUAAACUUCUUUUGUGCGGGAGCAAUAAUGGUCACGUGUGGCCAGACGAGAGUACCGUACGAAUAAGCAUCGGCUAACUCCGUGCCAGCAGCCGCGGUAAUACGGGGGAUGCAAGCGUUAUCCGGAUUUAUUGGGUUUAAAGGGUGCGUAGGCUGUGAGGUAAGUCAGCGGUGAAAUGCCCCCGCUCAACGGGGUGAAGUGCCAUUGAUACUGCCUUGCUGGAAUGCGGAUGCCGUGGGAGGAAUGUGUGGUGUAGCGGUGAAAUGCAU
Molecule: ribosomal RNA, 642 nt
Filed under: uncultured bacterium
Lineage: Bacteria
Description: bacterial SSU rRNA
Rfam family: Bacterial small subunit ribosomal RNA
Source: RNAcentral